This 315-nucleotide long non-coding RNA is filed under the name Monodelphis domestica (gray short-tailed opossum). RNAcentral describes it as "lncRNA (ENSMODG00000038418.1)". The record is from RNAcentral. Lineage: Eukaryota; Metazoa; Chordata; Mammalia; Didelphimorphia; Didelphidae.
UUCAUCAAAAGUCAACUUUCCUCUGCUACUUUAUCUAGUUAUUGCUGACCAGAUCAAAGCCUUCUCACUGGAUGCUCAAUGACCAAGAUCUGACUACAUCUAUCCAAACAGGAAACAUGGAACUUCCUAAUAGCUCCAAUGAUAAAAGUCCCAAUCCAUGAAAAGAUGAGAUCUACACAGGAAAAUGAUGUGCAAAGAGGAGCCGCAUAGAAGUAGGAAGAAUUUGCAUAACUGAUAGAAAUGUUAGCAUAAGGUGUGAUGCUUCAGAGUGAAAACAAGGAGGCCCUUGGCAGAGAGUCACUGGAAGAGUGGUCA